GAAUAGUUCUAAGUUAAUAAUUUGUGUAUUGACUAUUUGUCCCAAAAACUUAAUUCCAAAAUCGAAAAAAUUCAAAUCUCAAAAGUGAUCAAAACAAAAUGAAGUAAACUCAAACAGUCAAUACUGGGCAUCAUGGGUUCUGGUUUACGCAGUCCAAACAAAAGGUCAAAACAGUCAAAAUGCAGCUCUUUGUUUACUUUUAUUCAGUUUUUUGGCUAAAACAAGUUACAGUCUUCGGAUA
Xiphophorus hellerii (green swordtail) is the source of this 241-nucleotide long non-coding RNA. RefSeq lists it as uncharacterized. The transcript is spliced from 3 exons. Lineage: Eukaryota; Metazoa; Chordata; Actinopteri; Cyprinodontiformes; Poeciliidae. The record is from RefSeq and is a predicted model, not a curated record.